This 1158-nucleotide long non-coding RNA is filed under the name Sus scrofa (pig). RNAcentral's name for it is "lncRNA (ENSSSCG00060025786.1)". The record is from RNAcentral. Lineage: Eukaryota; Metazoa; Chordata; Mammalia; Artiodactyla; Suidae.
UGUAUCACUAUGAAUUUCCCUAUAAGGACUGCUUUUGCAGUGUCCCAUAGAGUUUGAAAGGUUGUGUCUUCAUUAUCAUUUGUCUCUAGGUAUUUUUUAAUUUCCUUCUUGAUUUCUUCAUUGACCCAUUGGCUUUUUAGUAGCAUGCUGUUUAGUCUCCAUGUAUUAGGUUUUUUCUCAAUUUUUUUUCCUGCAGUUGAUUUCUAGUUUCACGCCAUUGUGGUCAGAGAAGAUACUUGAAAUAACUUCUAUGCUCCUAAAUUUGUUGAGGUUAGCUUUGUGUCCCAAUAUGUGGUCGAUUCUUGAGAAUGUUCCAUGUGCACUUGAGAAGAAUGUGUAUUCUGAUUUUUUUGGAUGUAGUGUCCUGAAGAUAUCAAUUAAGUCUAACUUUUCUAUUGUUUCCUUUAGGAUCUCUGUUGCUUUAUUGGUUUUCUGUCUAGAGGAUCUGUCCAUUGAUGUGAGGGGGGUAUUUAGGUCUCCUACUAUGAUUGUAUUCUCAUCAAUAUCUCCCUUUAUGUCUGUUAGUAUUUGUUGUAUGUAUCUGGGUGCUCCUAUAUUUGGGGCAUAUAUGUUGAUGAUAGUAACAUCCUCUCCUUGGAUGGAUCCCUUAAUCAUUAAGUAGUGUCCUUCUUUGUCUUUCUUUAUGUCUUUUGUUUUAAAGUUUAUUUUGUCUGAUAUGAGUGUUGCAACUCCUGCUUUCCUGUCAUGUCUAUUGGUGUGAAAUAUUUUUCCUCACCCUUUCACUUUCAAUCUAUAUGUAUCCUUUGUCCUAAGGUGAGUUUCUUGUAGGCAGCAGAUUGAAGGUUUUUGCCUUUUUAUCCACUCAGCCACUCUGUGACUUUUGAUUAGAGCAUUCAGUCCAUUGACAUUUAAGGUGAUAAUUGAUAGAUGAUUAUUUAUUGCCAUUUUGAACCUCAUGUUCCACUUGAUUCUAUGGUUCUCCAUUCUUCCUUUCUUUUUUUUUGUUGGAUGGCCUCCAAUUAUUUUCUGCUUGAGUGUAUUUCUUUCCAUUUUUUGCGAAUGCAAUAUUUAGUUUUGGCUUGUGGUUGCCAUGUUUUUUAAGUAUGCUAACCCCUUCCUAUAAUUGUGUGUUUUAGUCUGAUGGUCCUGUAGGUUCGAACACUUCAUUACUAUAUUAAAAUUAAGAGAAACAAACAA